RNAcentral lists this non-coding RNA (28 nucleotides) under Bombyx mori (domestic silkworm). The record is from RNAcentral. Lineage: Eukaryota; Metazoa; Arthropoda; Insecta; Lepidoptera; Bombycidae.
GCUAUGCCAGGAUGUCGGUCUCGGUGUC